CGGUCCAGACUCCUACGGGAGGCAGCAGUAGGGAGUAUUUGGCAAUGGGGGAAACCCUGACCGAGCAACGCCGCGUGUGCGAUGGAGUCCCUCAGGGACGUGAAGCACUGUGGGGGGCCGCCAAACGGGCGGGCAGGAAAUGGCCCGUCCCCGAGGAGCCCCCUAGAAAGCGACUGCUAACCACGUGCCAGCAGCAGCGGUAAUACGUGGGUCGCAAGCGUUAUCCGGAAUCAUUGGGCGUAAAGAGUGAGCAGGCGGUCCGGGAAGUCCGCGGUGAAAUGCGGGGGCUCAACCCCCGCAGGCCGCGGAUACUUCCGGUCUGGGGUGCGGGAGAGGCGGACGGAACUCCGCGUGUAGCGGUGAAAUGCACUGAUACGCGGAAGAACACCGGUGGCGAAGGCGGUCCGCCAGACCGAUACCGACGCUCAGUCACGAAAGCGUGGGGAGCAAAUAGGAUUAGAUACCCUAGUAGUCCACGCCGUAAACGAUGGGGGCCAGGGCGCGGGGUCGACCCGCGUCCGAAGCAAACGCAUUAAGCCCCCCGCCUGGGUACUACGUUCGCAAGAAUAAAACUUAAAGGAAUUGGCGGGUGCCCGCACAAGCAGUGGAGCAUGCGGUUCAAUUCGUGGCUACACGUAGAACCUUACCAGGGUUUGACAUGCCGGCAAAGGCCCCGGAGACGGGGAGAUAGCUAUGCCGGACAAAGGUGGUGCAUGGCUGUCGUCAGCUCGUGUCGUGAGAUGUUAGGUCAAGUCCUCCAACGAGCGCGACCCCCGCCGCCAGUUGCCAUCAUCAGGUUGGGCACUCUGGCGGGACCGCCGGCGACAAGCCGGAGGAAGGCGGGGAUGACGUCAAGUCAUCAUGCCCCUUAUGCCCUGGGCCACACGCGUGCUACAAUGGCCGGCACAGUGGGAAGCGACGCCGCGAGGCGGAGCGGAUCCCAAAAGCCGGUCCCAGUACGGACCGGGGGCUGCAACCCGCCCCCGCGAAGCUGGAAUUGCUAGUAAUCGCGGAUCAGCCAAGCCGCGGUGAAUGCGUUCUCGGGCAUUGCACACACUGCCCGUCACACCAUGAAAGCCUGCAACGCUCUAAGUCGCCAGCCCGACCCGCGAGGGGGGGCGGCGCCCAAGGCGGGGCCGGUGAUUGGGGUUAAGUCGAAACAAGGUAUCCCUACGAGAACGUGGGGAUG
This 1189-nucleotide ribosomal RNA is filed under the name human gut metagenome. RNAcentral's name for it is "bacterial SSU rRNA". It matches the Rfam family "Bacterial small subunit ribosomal RNA", at positions 327 to 1520 of the family's 1533-position model. The record is from RNAcentral.